GAUUGACCUCGGAUCAGGUAGGGAUACCCGCUGAACUUAAGCAUAUCAAUAAGCGGAGGAAAAGAAACCAACAGGGAUUGCCUCAGUAACGGCGAGUGAAGCGGCAACAGCUUAAAUUUGUAAUCUGGCUCCACUUAGGGGGUCCGAGUUGUAAUUUGUAGAGGAUGCUUUGGGCACGAUACCGGCUUAAGUUCCUUGGAACAGGGCGUCAUAGAGGGUGAGAAUCCCGUAUGUGGCCGGCCUCCAACCCCACGUGAAGCUCCUUCGACGAGUCGAGUUGUUUGGGAAUGCAGCUCAAAACGGGUGGUAAAUUUCAUCUAAAGCUAAAUAUCUGCCAGAGACCGAUAGCGCACAAGUAGAGUGAUCGAAAGAUGAAAAGCACUUUGGAAAGAGGGUCAAACAGUACGUGAAAUUGUUGAAAGGGAAGCGCUUGCGACCAGACCUGCCCGUCGAUGUUCAGCGAGGGUUCUUCCCCGUGUAUUCAUCGGCGAGCAGGCCAGCAUCGGUUCCGGCGGUCGGAAAAAGGCCUGGGGAAUAUAGCUCCUCUUGGGGAGUGUUAUAGCCCUUGGCGACAUACGUCCAGCGGGGACCGAGGACCGCGCCUUAGGCAAGGAUGCUGGCAUAAUGGCUGUAAGCGGCCCGUCUUGAAACACGGACCAAGGAGUCUAACAUCUAUGCGAGUGUUUGGGCGUCAAACCCAUGCGCGCAAUGAAAGUGAACGGAGGUGGGAGCCCCUAAGGGCGCACCAUCGACCGAUCCUGAAGUUUACGGAUGGAUUUGAGUAUGAGCAUAACUGUUGGGACCCGAAAGAUGGUGAACUAUACCUGAAUAGGGUGAAGCCAGAGGAAACUCUGGUGGAGGCUCGCAGCGGUUCUGACGUGCAAAUCGAUCGUCAAAUUUGGGUAUAGGGGCGAAAGACUAAUCGAACCAUGGUUGAAAAAGACUUACUAGGUGGUUAAUCGGGGUGGGGCCCCGCCCUUGGUGCCCCCUCCAGCCCCUCGGGGCAACAAUGCUAAUUGCAUGAAAUCGUUCGAGCCAGCCGGUUCGAUGGACAUGCUGCGGCCGCCGCUUAUCAUACACGGUGCUGUCCACAGACCAGAUAGCAUUGGCCGGGCUCUUGAAGCCGGGUUCAGAUAUGGUCGAGCCCUACUCCGCCCAAGGAGUCCGGCUUCAGGGGGGUGUACAAGCUCCCUGGGAGCCUCCACGGUGUUUGACGCUAGUAGCUGGUUCCUGCCGAAGUUUCCCUCAGGAUAGCAGUAACGUUUUCAGUUUUAUGAGGUAAAGCGAAUGAUUAGAGGCCUUGGGGGUGAAACAUCCUUAACCUAUUCUCAAACUUUAAAUAUGUAAGAAGUCCUUGUUGCUUAAUUGAACGUGGACACUUGAAUGCACCG
RNAcentral lists this ribosomal RNA (1391 nucleotides) under Toninia toniniana. Its description in RNAcentral is "partial large subunit ribosomal RNA". It matches the Rfam family "Eukaryotic large subunit ribosomal RNA", at positions 1 to 1119 of the family's 3401-position model. The record is from RNAcentral. Lineage: Eukaryota; Fungi; Ascomycota; Lecanoromycetes; Lecanorales; Ramalinaceae.